RNAcentral lists this ribosomal RNA (494 nucleotides) under uncultured bacterium. RNAcentral describes it as "partial 16S ribosomal RNA". It matches the Rfam family "Bacterial small subunit ribosomal RNA", at positions 28 to 507 of the family's 1533-position model. The record is from RNAcentral.
GACGAACGCUGGCGGCGUGCUUAACACAUGCAAGUCGAACGGAAAGGCCUGCUUUCCCUUGUGGAUUGCGGGUACUCGAGUGGCGAACGGGUGAGUAACACGUGAGUGAUCUGCCCCCAACUUGGGUAUAAGCCUGGGAAACUGGGUCUAAUUCCCGAUAGGACUGCAGGGUGGUGCCUGUGGUGGAAAACGAUUUUCUAGUGGUUGGGGAUGAGCUCGCGGCCUAUCAGCUUGUUGGUGGGGUAAUGGCCUACCAAGGCGGCGACGGGUAGCCGGCCUGGGAGGGUGGACGGCCACAUUGGGACUGAGAUACGGCCCAGACUCCUACGGGAGGCAGCAGUGGGGAAUAUUGCACCAUGGGCGGAAGCCCGAUGCAGCGACGCCGCGUGGGGGAUGACGGCCUUCGGGUUGUAAACUCCUUUCGACCGCGAGGAAGCCACCUGGUUGGAAGGGUGGUGACGGUAGUGGUAGAAGAAGCACCGGCUAACUACGUG